GAUGGUUCUCGGGUGAUGCACUCCAGAAUCGGGCUCCCUCCUUUCUGGUUCCAGGUGCAUCACCCAAGAACCGCA
Non-coding RNA from Myotis brandtii (Brandt's bat), 75 nucleotides. The record is from Rfam. NCBI's taxonomy places the organism in Eukaryota, Metazoa, Chordata, Mammalia, Chiroptera, Vespertilionidae.